UACGGAGGGGGCUAGCGUUGUUCGGAAUUACUGGGCGUAAAGCGCACGUAGGCGGCUUUGUAAGUUAGAGGUGAAAGCCCGGGGCUCAACUCCGGAAUUGCCUUUAAGACUGCAUCGCUAGAAUCGUGGAGAGGUAAGUGGAAUUCCGAGUGUAGAGGUGAAAUUCGUAGAUAUUCGGAAGAACACCAGUGGCGAAGGCGACUUACUGGGCACAUAUUGACGCUGAGGCACGAAAGCGUGGGGAGCAAACAGG
Molecule: ribosomal RNA, 253 nt
Filed under: uncultured bacterium
Lineage: Bacteria
Description: partial 16S ribosomal RNA
Rfam family: Bacterial small subunit ribosomal RNA
Source: RNAcentral